GACGAACGCUGGCGGCGUGCUUAACACAUGCAAGUCGAACGGUGAACCUCUUCGGAGGGGAUCAGUGGCGAACGGGUGAGUAACACGUGGGCAACCUGCCCCCGGCUCUGGGAUAACUCCAAGAAAUUGGGGCUAAUACCGGAUGUUCACCGCUUCCCGCAUGGGUGGUGGUGGAAAGGGUUUCCGGCUGGGGAUGGGCCCGCGGCCUAUCAGCUUGUUGGUGGGGUAGUGGCCUACCAAGGCGACGACGGGUAGCCGGCCUGAGAGGGUGACCGGCCACACUGGGACUGAGACACGGCCCAGACUCCUACGGGAGGCAGCAGUGGGGAAUAUUGCGCAAUGGGCGGAAGCCUGACGCAGCGACGCCGCGUGGGGGAUGACGGCCUUCGGGUUGUAAACCUCUUUCAGCAGGGACGAAGCGCAAGUGACGGUACCUGCAGAAGAAGCACCGGCCAACUGCGUG
Molecule: ribosomal RNA, 463 nt
Filed under: uncultured bacterium
Lineage: Bacteria
Description: partial 16S ribosomal RNA
Rfam family: Bacterial small subunit ribosomal RNA
Source: RNAcentral